This 245-nucleotide ribosomal RNA is filed under the name uncultured bacterium. Its description in RNAcentral is "partial 16S ribosomal RNA". It matches the Rfam family "Bacterial small subunit ribosomal RNA", at positions 524 to 768 of the family's 1533-position model. The record is from RNAcentral.
UACGUAGGGUGCGAGCGUUGUCCGGAAUUAUUGGGCGUAAAGAGCUCGUAGGCGGUUUGUCGCGUCGACUGUGAAAACCUACAGCUUAACUGUGGGCUUGCAGUCGAUACGGGCAGACUUGAGUUCGGUAGGGGAGACUGGAAUUCCUGGUGUAGCGGUGAAAUGCGCAGAUAUCAGGAGGAACACCGGUGGCGAAGGCGGGUCUCUGGGCCGAUACUGACGCUGAGGAGCGAAAGCGUGGGGAG